ACCCUGCUAAAGAGUCCCAAAUAGGACGAAAUGCGCAUCCUGGAU
This 45-nucleotide non-coding RNA is filed under the name Trichobilharzia regenti. The record is from RNAcentral. Lineage: Eukaryota; Metazoa; Platyhelminthes; Trematoda; Strigeidida; Schistosomatidae.